Oreochromis niloticus (Nile tilapia) is the source of this 1705-nucleotide long non-coding RNA. NCBI's taxonomy places the organism in Eukaryota, Metazoa, Chordata, Actinopteri, Cichliformes, Cichlidae. The record is from Ensembl.
AUUGUGUUUGACUCAGAGCACGCUAAAUUAUGACAGUCACUCAGCUGAGCAAGCAUGCAGGGACGUCUGUUCCUCCUGAUUCUGAUAGGUAAGCAGAUCAGAUCUACAGGCAUGUUUUUUUAGUCUCUCUGUGUUAACUCAGUACCUCACCUCUUUCACAAUGACCGUGAAGAUGAAGGCUUCGUUAAGGCUUUAACUCACUGCAGAGCCUGAGUUUGAUCAGUUCAGAAAAAUAAUAGUUAAAAAAAGCUUUAAAAAGUGUUUGUUUGCCAUGUCUUUAGUUUUAUUCACACGCACACACACACGCGCGCGCGCGCACGCACACACACACAACAGAAUAAUAAAGUCAUCACAGUUUAGCAAAAACACUAAAUGCAAUUUUCUUUUAUAAAUGUGGCCUGAAAUGGAACUUCAUCUGUGCAAAAAAGAAAGAAAGAAAGAAAGACAAAAAAUCGUAUGCUGAAGCACAAAAGAGGAGGAAAGUUUUCCUCAAACUACAUACUGAGUAGAGUAAUUACCCCUUUUUUUCAGUAUUUCCUAGAGCGAUAUUUGAGGCUAUUGUUGGAUUUAAUUUCUUUAAAUAAUACAGUUCUCCGGUGAGGAAGGAGGAAAUGAUGCCGUUCACGGCUGGUGACGUCUAAGAAGCUGAGACAGUAUGAGCUGGGCUGCCGAGCCUCUGACUGCUGCAAGCUUUCGCUCCAGGUGUGAGUUUCUUUAGUCUUUGUAGUUCACAUUAUGGGGGACAUUUACAAGUAUCCCGUUUUCUUCGAGUGUUCCAAUCUGAGCGCAGAGCAAAAGAAGAGGAUAGAAAACUAUUUCCAUAUUCGUCGCAAAUCGGGCGGCGGUGAGUGCGGCUCGGUGACGGACGUAAACGACAAAGUUUACAGCGUCGCGUUUAAGGAGCGAGAUGCUCAACAAAGAGUCCUGCAAAAAUCUCAGCAUGAGUUCAACUUUCCAGAUUGUACUCUGGUUCUGACUGUGAGAGACAGCCCAGGACCUCCUGUCGCUUCUCCCACAUCCCCCUCGUCUCCAGGCCAGCCAGUUAGCCCCAAACUGGAUGUAACCUCUUCACAGGUCAGCUCUGUAACGUGUUAUUGCUCUGUAAAGGCAACGCUAUAUAACUCAAAACGAAGAAAAAAAGAGAGUGAUCAAUUCUUUUUGUUGGUUAGACACUGAAAAAGUUUGUUUGUUGAUUGAAAAAGACGACCCAGCUGUAUGUAAAAACAAAAUGAUGCAGAGGUUAAGCAUAGAUAAGCAACAUUACCUUGUUAUUUAUCUUGUUGCAAGUUCAGCAAAUGUUUUUGCAUUUUUACCUAAAAAAAAAACUUGUAUUGCAAGAAUGGAACAAAGACAUCCAGAAGCAAGUGUGAAAAGAGGACUUAUGAAGACGGAGUCACAGAAACGAAGACCAUAUAAAUAUAUAUACACACAAAGGAGUGACAUUCCACAGGGGAAAAACAUUUUGGGUGUUGCAGGUAAAAACAGAAAGCAAAUCAGCCACAGACAGGCAAAGGAAGAGUUAUUGUCAUAAUAAACUGAGAACAAAGAAAACAAUCAAUGAACUCUGAAAAGAAAACAUAAAGUAACACUAUUGUAAUGGAUUGGAAUUACAUAUCACCCCAAGCAACCAUUGUGAAAGAGCAGAAGAUGGUUUAGUGUAUUUUUCCAGUCUUGAAAACCUCAAAUAAUAUUAAUCUUUAAGACU